UGGAAACUUCCUGAAAAGUUGUCAAGGG
Molecule: non-coding RNA, 28 nt
Filed under: Rattus norvegicus (Norway rat)
Lineage: Eukaryota; Metazoa; Chordata; Mammalia; Rodentia; Muridae
Source: RNAcentral